RNAcentral lists this ribosomal RNA (503 nucleotides) under uncultured bacterium. RNAcentral describes it as "bacterial SSU rRNA". It matches the Rfam family "Bacterial small subunit ribosomal RNA", at positions 26 to 507 of the family's 1533-position model. The record is from RNAcentral.
AGAACGAACGUUAGCGGCGCGCUUAACACAUGCAAGUCGAGCGAGAAAGAGGGCAACCUCCGGUAAAGCGGCGCACGGGUGAGUAACACGUAGGUAACCUACCCCCAGGUGGUGGAUAACCUCCCGAAAGGGGGGCUAAUACAGCAUAAGACCACGCCUUCGAAAGAAGGUGAGGUCAAAGUCGGCCUCUAUUCAUAAGCUAUCGCUGAGGGAUGGGCCUGCGGGCCAUUAGCUUGUUGGUGAGGUAACGGCUCACCAAGGCUGUGAUGGCUAGCUGGUCUGAGAGGAUGACCAGCCACACUGGGACUGAGACACGGCCCAGACUCCUACGGGAGGCAGCAGUGGGGAAUAUUGCGCAAUGGGCGAAAGCCUGACGCAGCGACGCCGCGUGGGUGAUGAAGGCCUUCGGGUCGUAAAGCCCUGUCGCAGGGGAAGAAUAAGCAUCGGUAUAAUACGCCGGUGCCCUGACGGUACCCUGCAAGAAAGCACCGGCUAACUCCGUG